Molecule: ribosomal RNA, 1341 nt
Filed under: Sphaeromyxa sevastopoli
Lineage: Eukaryota; Metazoa; Cnidaria; Myxozoa; Bivalvulida; Sphaeromyxidae
Description: SSU rRNA
Rfam family: Eukaryotic small subunit ribosomal RNA
Source: RNAcentral
GCCAUGCAUGUCUAAGUUCAUACCUAGUAAAAGUGAGACUGCGAAAGGCUCAGUAUAUCAGUUAUAGUUUAUUCGAUUGUGAACUCCACAUGGAUAACCGUGGAAAAUCUAGAGCUAAUACAUGCGAAAAAUGGUAAUUUGAGCAAUUGAAUUAUUAUGCAUUUAUUAGAUUAGAACCAAUCAGAUGGCGUAAGUUGUCUGUAGUGGUGAGUCUGAAUAACUUUGCCGAUCGUAUGGCCUAGAGCCGGCGACGUUUCGAUUAAAUUUCUGCCCUAUCAAUUUGUUGGUAAGGUAGUGGCUUACCAAGAUUAUUACGGGUAACGGGGAAUCAGGGUUCGAUUCCGGAGAGGGAGCCUGAGAAACGGCUACCACAUCCAAGGAAGGCAGCAGGCGCGCAAAUUAUCCAAUCCAAACACUGGGAGAUGGUAACGAGAAAUACCAGGUUGUUUUCAAAUGAAUUCAACACUGGAAUGAAUGUAACUUAAAAAAUUCAAUGAGUAGCAACUGGAGGGCAAGUCUGGUGCCAGCAGCCGCGGUAAUUCCAGCUCCAGUAGUGUAUUCUAAAGUUGCUGCGGUUAAAACGCUCGUAGUUGGACAAUAUAGUAACUUAGUGCAGGCGGGAAAGGUUAUACCUUUUAAUUUGGUCAGAAAUAUGAGCAUUGCGAGUAUUUGUGGCUGGUUAAUUGGUUACUUUGUCGACCGUGUAGCUAAGUUGCUUAGAAUAUUUUGUGAGAAUAAUAUAUGGUCUUUAUUGUAUCGUAUAUUGUAUCUUGCAUAGCGUGCCUUGAAUAAAUCAGAGUGCUCAAAGCAAGCUUACGCUUGAAUGUUAAUAGCAUGGAACGAAUGUUUUGUGAAAGUAUGUGCAGUUUACUUCGGUAAGUUGUAUGUACAGCACCAACCGCGAAGCAGAACAUUGGUAGCUGUCUUCGGGUGAUGAUUAAGAGGGGCAUUUGGGGGCAUUAGUAUUUGAACGCGAGAGGUGAAAUUCUUGGACCGUUCAAGGACUAACAAGUGCGAAAGCAUUUGCCAAGGAUGUUCCCAUUAAUCAAGAACGAAAGUGAGAGGAUCGAAGACGAUCAGAUACCGUCCUAGUUCUCACCGUAAACUAUGCCAACCCGGGAUCAGCUCGGAUGAACUUUUUUGGAUCCAGGUUGGUCCCCCUGGGAAACCUUGAGUUUUUAGGUUCCGGGGGGAGUAUGGUUGCAAGGCUGAAACUUAAAGGAAUUGACGGAAGGGCACCACCAGGGGUGGAGCCUGCGGCUUAAUUUGACUCAACACGGGAAAACUCACCUGGUCCGGACAUCGAUAGGAUUGACAGACUAAUAGAUCUUUCAUGAUACG